This 68-nucleotide transfer RNA is filed under the name Ictidomys tridecemlineatus (thirteen-lined ground squirrel). RNAcentral describes it as "Spermophilus tridecemlineatus (thirteen-lined ground squirrel) tRNA". It matches the Rfam family "tRNA". Rfam says of the family: Transfer RNA (tRNA) molecules are approximately 80 nucleotides in length. Their secondary structure includes four short double-helical elements and three loops (D, anti-codon, and T loops). Further hydrogen bonds mediate the characteristic L-shaped molecular structure. tRNAs have two regions of fundamental functional importance: the anti-codon, which is responsible for specific mRNA codon recognition, and the 3' end, to which the tRNAs corresponding amino acid is attached (by aminoacyl-tRNA synthetases). tRNAs cope with the degeneracy of the genetic code in two manners: having more than one tRNA (with a specific anti-codon) for a particular amino acid; and 'wobble' base-pairing, i.e. permitting non-standard base-pairing at the 3rd anti-codon position. Lineage: Eukaryota; Metazoa; Chordata; Mammalia; Rodentia; Sciuridae. The record is from Rfam by way of RNAcentral.
GUGGUGGCUCAGUGGUACAGCACUUGCCUCACAUGUAUGAGGUACUGUGUUCAAUCCUCAGCACCACA